AGUCAGUGUACAAGAUGGACCCACUAC
This 27-nucleotide non-coding RNA is filed under the name Rattus norvegicus (Norway rat). The record is from RNAcentral. Lineage: Eukaryota; Metazoa; Chordata; Mammalia; Rodentia; Muridae.